GCGACACACAUAGCGGGGCCUCGAGGCUUCACUCUCCACCAAUCACAUAGCGUUSUACUUGACUAAUUUGAGGCAUCGAUCAGUCUGAAAUCCUGCGUGUGCCAAACUCAUCAAAAUCGGAUAACAUUGAACGUAUUUAUCUCAUCUGCGAGCUUUCGUCUGGAUCCCAAAAAAUACCAAAUUCUGGAAUAAUUCAGCCUAUCUUUGUGAACUUAAAGCUGUUGCGUUAWUUCUAACCUCAAGAUAAAGUCCUGAUACCAGUCUCCGCAAGAAAAUCAUUAGUGUCUUGUCGCUACUGAAUUAGGCAGUUUGAAACUCAGAUGAGUGGAAGAAGCCUAAGGAACUGUAACGCUAUUUCUCACUAGAUUUAAGGUUUCAACGUUGCUCAUUCAGCUGCAAUCCUGGCGUCUAGUUCGUUCAAGACGGCAUCCAAGCCAACGUCCAUGAUUUCAUCAACCUCUUUAUACCUGUACGGCCUACUGGCUGUGUUUGURCUAUGYAGCGUGACCCUCACYUGGGACACACCACUGUUCCAUCAGUACCACGAACAUUACAUGUCACAUUCRACGUAUCGUGGUGUUGAUGUGUUCACAGAGAGCUUAAACUCGCCAACAGGACCCGAACACUUCAUGGAGAACUUCUACAUAUGUUAUGGACGCGACGGACGAAAAACAUAUUAUAAGAAGUUGGACAAGACUUAUUUCUCGAACAAACGAUACUGGAUUAUUACUUCCAGUGGGAAGUUCGUGGCAUCCAUGAAGACUUGUUGAGUUUAAUAUACAUGUAUGAAUUUAGGAACACCCUGCCCAGUCAAAAGAGUGAAGAUGCGCGGGACCCUCGCUACUCUCCAUUAGAACGCUUAGUACUUCAUGUAAGACCUCAUAAAAGUGUAGACCUAACCGUGACAAUUCAUAGCCACUUACAUGAAUUUCUGACGUUCGGAACCAUCUUUAUUAGUCAAGCACCAUAUCAUAAUUCUCCUUCUCAACAGCCACUUCCAUUGUAGAAAAAAAACACUGGGUGCACGUAAUAGUUUAAGUGCUGCGGUGAAGACUUGUAAUUAUGUACAUAACGGUUUUGAUUUGAAAUWAAAAUGCUUAGUUUUGAUAAA
Exaiptasia diaphana is the source of this 1111-nucleotide long non-coding RNA. RefSeq lists it as uncharacterized. Lineage: Eukaryota; Metazoa; Cnidaria; Anthozoa; Actiniaria; Aiptasiidae. The record is from RefSeq and is a predicted model, not a curated record. The transcript is spliced from 2 exons.